GACCUCAAAAUAUUGAAUAAUAAUAGGUAGGGGAUAAUCAAUGAGGGGCUAUGUGUUCUCUGGAAUAUAAUGCACAAUGUGGAAGGUGUUCCAGGACGCGCUAGCCUCCUUCCAUGGAGUUGCAUUAUUUUCCAGAGAACACAUAGAGCCCCAAGUUGAUUAUCCCUUUUAUACCAUGGCUAUAAUUGAACACAUGUACCGCUAUAAAUGUGUUAAUUUGCUGGUAGAAAUGUUUUCAACAUCCACUGAAGUAGCUAUCAAGUUGACUAGAUAUCAACAAUAGUUGCCUUGGUAAACAGACUUGCUAGUUUAGCUAACUAAACCAUAAGUCCUAGCUUGCUAAUAUAAAAAUCAAAUUCAACAAUGCUAAUGUUUUUCAAUUCAAUUUUUGCUUUCAAAAGUAGCUCAAACAUGGAACAUGUAAGAAUGAACUAUAGUCAUUGAAUUCUACCAUGCAAAUAUAUUGUGCAUUAUAGGAAAAUAAUGCAUGCUCUAGAAUGCCCUUCAAUCAGUUGUAUAAAGUAUUUAAGUAAAACAUAAUUUAAAGUACUACUUGAGUACUACUACUUCUGCCAACUUUAAUACAUUCUUAAAGAAAAUAAUGUACUUUUUACUCCAUACAUUUUCCCUAACACCCAAAAGUACUCGUUACAUUUUGACAGGAAAACGGUCCAAUUCACACACUUACCAUGAGAACAAUCCCUGGUCAUCACUACUGCAUCUGAUCUGGCAGACUCACUAAACAAAUGCUUAGUUUGUAAAUUAUGUCUGAGUGUUGGAGUGUGCCCCUGCGAUCUGUCUAAAAAAAAAGACAAUUGUGCAGUCUGGUUUACUUUUACUCAAUUAUGGCAAUUUAGUACUUUUUCCACCACUGCCUUCAAGCCAAUCAGAAAUGAGUAUUCAACAAUGCCAUGAUAUAAUGCAAGAGAAGCCGGUGUUUGGAGGAUAUACAGGCAAGGUGUUAUUACGUCCGAGACGAAGUCGAGGGCCAGCAAACCGUGCCAAUAUAUUCUCCAAACACGGGCUUCAAGGUCAUUAUCAAGGGUUACCAACAUAUUCAAAUAAUGAUUGACAUUUUUAUUUAAAAAAAACAUUGAAUUUAUUCAUACCAUUUCACCCUUCCAUGAGAUACAGUACUGACACAUCUAGGGUUGCUUCCCAAGCCGGAUGGUCGUUCAUUCUAUCGGUACGUUUGCCAGAGACGGACCCAGUCAUUAAGUCUCUGUUCUGUAUCUAUGUCGUUUAUUCUAAAUGUUCUGUUGCCAUACUGUUUGGCAAUGUUCUUAUCCCUUGCUUCCUAGCUAGCCAACUACGGCUAAUUUACGGUCAAACAUUACAGCCAGAAUAACAGCUAAGUAGCCACAUUUGCAUUUGUUUUAGCGGUUUUCUAGUGAUAUUUGAUAAUGAUGCGUGAUUUUACCUGGCAUAGAAAAUGUGCUCCGAUGAGCUGGCCAACAACACAGCUAACACAAUCACUUCAAACUGAAGCUGGGAAGACUGCAAACUAGCUGCAUUUCGUUUUCGAUUGACAUUUCUUUGUAUAUAUCCAUUUAAAAAAAAGUCUGAUUCAUGAUUGACUGGCUGAGAAAAGCUGCCUGCAUGUCUCAUCCUGACUCCCGACCCCUACACAUGCCUAACCAGUUAUCAUUUAACAAGUGUCGUAUCAAUUUGAGGUUUGUCGAAGUCGGUAAGGAAAAGAUGAGUCUGUUCUACUCAUGAAUUCAGACCCCUUCACUUGUCCUGCAUUGUUAUGUUACAGCCUUAUUCUAAAAUGGAUUAAAUAACAAAUCCUCAAUCUACACACAAAAGCCCUUAAAAAGCGAAAACAGGUUGACAUUUUUUGCAAAUUUAUUUAAAAAAAACAUAUACCUUAUUUACUUCAGUAUUCAGACCCUUUUUUAAAAACCUUUAACUAGGCAAGUCAGUUAACAAAUUCUUAUUUUCAAUGACAGCCUAGGGACAGUGGGUUAACUGCCUUGUUCAGGGGCACAAUGACAGAUUUUUACCUUGUCAGUUCGGGGAUUCGAUCUUGCAACCUUUCAGUUACUCGUCCAAUGCUCUAAUCACUAGGCUACCUGCUGCCCUUUGCUAUGAGACUGGAAAUUGAGCUCCGGUGCAUCCUGUUUCCGUUGAUCAUCCUUGAUGUUUCUAGAACUUUGAUUCAAUUUAUUUGAAAAUUAUUUGAUUAAAUUAAUUUGACAUGAUUUGGAAAGGCACAUCUGUCUGUACAAGGUCCCACAGUUGACAGUGCACGUCAGAGUAAAAACCAAGCCAUGAGGCCGAAAGAAUUGUCUGUAGAGCUCCGAGACAGGAUUGUGUCGAGGCACAGAUCUGGGGAAGGGUACAAAAACAAUUCUGCAGCAUUGAAGGUCCUCAAGAACACAGUGGCCUCCAUCAUUCUUAAAUGGAAGCCGUUUGGAACCACCAAGACUCUUCCUAGAGCUGGCUGCUCGUCCAAACUGAGCAAUCAGGAGAGAAAGGCCUUGGUCAGGGAGGUGACCAGGUCACUCUGACAGAGUUCCUCUGUGGAGAUGGUUGUCCUUCUGGAAGGUUCAAGAUUGAACUAUUUGGCAUGAAUGCCAAGUGUCACAUCUGGAGGAAACCUGGCACCAUCCCCACGGUGAAGCAUGGUGGUGGCAGCAUCAUGCUGUGAGGAUGUUUUUCAGCGGCAGGGACUGGGAGACUAGUCAGGAUCAAGGGAAAGAUGAACGGAGUACUGAGAGAUUGAUGAAAACCUGCUCAGGACCUCAGACUGGGUUUAAGGUUCAGCUUCAAUACAUUUGCAAAAAUGUCUAAACCUGUUUUUGCUUUUCAUUAUGGCGUAGUGUGUGUGUAGAUUGAGAAACAUUAUUUAAUCCAUGGCUGUAAAGUAUCAAAAAGUUGUAGAAAGUGAAGGGGUCUGAAUAUUUUCCUAAUGCACUAUACAUCCAAAACCACUCAGUGGUUUUGAAUUCAAACACAUUCUUUAUGAAUUACAUCUGCAUACUGCUCUGCUUGCAUGGUUUCAGAUUUUUUGUUCUCCCUCAUAUUGUAGGAAAACUUUUGAAGGGGUCUGAACAGUGUGUUUUCAUGGACUUUCCUGAGUAUUAAAGGCCAGUACUUCAAAAUGAGACGAUCCUGCCAUGGAAAAGACGACUGGGUGGACAAAGUGGAAAACUCACCAUGCAGCAGGGUCUUUAAUGCAGAUGGCCAAGGAAGUUACACAGAACUUCCCCUCCCAAAUUGAUAUAGAACCUUCACAAAAGCACAUGGAGCAACUGCGAAACUAAAUGGCUGGUAUGUAAUGACAUUUGAAUUCAAAGUAAAUGUAAAUUCUUAAUUUGUAUGUAGUUGUGUGGGACAGCCAUAUGUUCAGUUCAUGCCUAUGAUUUGAGUUCAACAAAGCCAACACCUGCUUCUUGUGUGUCACCGAUAAAGAACCUGGAUGUGGCCCAAAGACUGACUGGGUUAGUAACUUUAUUUAACACGUUUAUAAUCUUUUGACAACAGUGACGGCAUGUAAGACAAUUUUUGAUAACACAAUGGAUGGUUAAUUCGUCAUACGUUAUAAAUAAUAUCAAUGCAGUGUUACGCUUUGUUUUAGAUUUGAUGUUUUGCAUGCCAACAGUGGUUCAAUGUGCUGUCCCUAGGACUGAAGACAAGAGUUCAGAGUGAAGAACACAAACUGGAAGUGCUGUCUUUGUUGUUGAAAAUGUAUGCUAUACCCCAUCCACACUGAAGAGGCUCUGAAAUGUACAUCAACCAGGGAUAAAGAGAAAGUCAACACUGAAAUGUUUCAUACUCAUCUGACAUUAUUAAAUGUCUACAAUUUCUGCUUAAUUUGUCAAUAUUACAUUUUUAUUCAUUGAUUUACCGGCCACCAUUACUGUGGUUACAUGUUCAGUAUAUGUAUUGACCAGCAAACCCACUGCAGCCUACUUCAAGCUCACUCUCCAUCCCUGCUUUGGACAAUUAAUAACAUGACUCUCGUACUUUGCCUUAUUCCUACUUUAUCUGGUGACAACUGCAUGCAUCGCCAUCCUUGUAGAGUUUCCGAGCCUUGUUUUAUAUCUUAUGACACAAUAUUGUAUACUUGUAUAGAGCAGACAAACCCAGUAAUCUGUAAAAGUUUCACCAUGUUACAGGUGGUCCAAAAGCUGUCGAGACCCCUUCAUAGAGAAACUGCCCAACAACAAAAAGCCUGUGUUGUGAGGCCAUUGCACUGAUUAAGCAUACAGCUGAUGAAGCAGAUGUUCGCCUAUCGCCAAAAGAUGGUUCAUGACCCAGUGAAGUCCUCUGAAAUAUUCCCAGCAAUCCAAAGACAUAGCAGGAAUGAUUGAGCAAGAUUUUAGUGAUGCAACCUCUGCAAAGUUCCUGGAGAAGUGGCCUACUCUCUCCAAGCAGAAAGUUAUUGACCAAAGACGUGGCCUCACACAGACAGGCGGCCUGCAAGACCUGGUUCAAGAUGCUGAAUCCACAACAGAAGUGGACAAUCGUAUGCUGGAAUAAAAGAUGGGACAGUGACAUGUCCUCCAUUUUGGUCCUUGUCCACCUUAUACCACCAUCACCUCAUGGCCACAAGAGACCUGGAAAAAUAUCAGCCAGACACACCAGUAACCACAUUGUGAAGUUCAUCAAGACUGGGACCAGCAUCUGGAGAGCGCCAUGGAAAGCCUUCAACCCUAUCUGCUUGCUGUGGGGAUCCAGAGGAGUGUGAUUCACAAGUACUUCAUUGUGAUUGACAAACAUGCAAUACAUUGUAAGUCACCAGACUCUCUUGCCUGUUUUGUCUUUGGUACCUCACAUCUCCCUCACUAGCUUUCAGAUCACUGCACAUGUACAUAGCCCAUCUGUAAACAGCCCAUCUACCUACCUCAUCCCCAUACUGGUAUUUAUUUAUUUUGCUCCUUUGCACCCCAGUAUCUCUACCUGCACUUUCAUCUUAUGCCAAUCUACCAUUCCAGUGUUUAAUUGCUAUAUUGUAAUUACUUCGCCACCAUGGCCUAUUUAUUUCCUUAAACUUACCUCAUUUGCACUCACUGUAUAUAGACUUUUUUGUUUUCUUUUGUUCUACUGCAUUAUUGACUAUGUUUUUGUUUGUUCCAAGUGUAACUCAGUGUUGCAAGUGUCGAAUUGCUAUGCUUUAUCUUGGCCAGGUCGCAGUUGCAAAUGAGAACUUGUUCUCAACUAGCCUACCUGGUUAAAUAAAGGUGAAAUAAAAUAAA
Molecule: long non-coding RNA, 5204 nt
Organism: Oncorhynchus nerka (sockeye salmon)
Lineage: Eukaryota; Metazoa; Chordata; Actinopteri; Salmoniformes; Salmonidae
Exons: 6
Source: RefSeq, a predicted model, not a curated record